GUGGGGAAUCUUGCGCAAUGGGCGAAAGCCUGACGCAGCCAUGCCGCGUGGAUGAUGAAGGUCUUAGGAUUGUAAAAUCCUUUCACCGGUGAAGAUAAUGACUGUAGCCGGAGAAGAAGCCCCGGCUAACUUCGUGCCAGCAGCCGCGGUAAUACGAAGGGGGCUAGCGUUGCUCGGAAUUACUGUGCGGAAAGGGAGCGUAGGCGGACAUUUAAGUCAGGGGUGAAAUCCCGAGGCUCAACCUCGGAACUGCCUUUGAUACUGGGUGUCUUGAGUGUGAGAGAGGUGGGUGGAACUCCGGGUGUAGAGGGGAAAUUCGUAGAUAUUCGGAAGAACACCAGUGGCGAAGGCGACUCACUGGCUCAUUACUGACGCUGAGGCUCGAAAGCGUGGGGAGCAAACAGGAUUAGAUACCCGUGUAGUCC
This 425-nucleotide ribosomal RNA is filed under the name uncultured bacterium. RNAcentral's name for it is "partial 16S ribosomal RNA". It matches the Rfam family "Bacterial small subunit ribosomal RNA", at positions 354 to 796 of the family's 1533-position model. The record is from RNAcentral.